ACGGAAGGCAGCAGUGGGGAAUAUUGCGCAAUGGGGGGAACCCUGACGCAGCAAUACCGCGUGAGCGAAGAAGGUUUUCGGAUCGUAAAGCUCUUGUAUUGGGGAAGAAGAAGUGACGGUACCCAAUGAAGAAGUCCCGGCUAACUACGUGCCAGCAGCCGCGGUAAUACGUAGGGGACAAGCGUUGUCCGGAAUGACUGGGCGUAAAGGGCGCGUAGGCGGGAUGUUAAGUCUGAUGUGAAAGGUUACGGCUCAACCGUAGACAUGCAUUGGAAACUGGCAUUCUUGAGUACUGGAGAGGCAAGUGGAAUUCCUAGUGUAGCGGUGAAAUGCGUAGAUACUAGGAGGAACACCGGCGGCGAAGGCGGCUUGCUGGACAGAUACUGACGCUGAGGCGCGAAAGCGUGGGGAGCAAACAGGAUUAGAUACCCUGGUA
This 436-nucleotide ribosomal RNA is filed under the name uncultured Pseudoramibacter sp. RNAcentral describes it as "partial 16S ribosomal RNA". It matches the Rfam family "Bacterial small subunit ribosomal RNA", at positions 341 to 792 of the family's 1533-position model. Lineage: Bacteria; Bacillati; Bacillota; Clostridia; Eubacteriales; Eubacteriaceae. The record is from RNAcentral.